Molecule: long non-coding RNA, 767 nt
Organism: Cyprinus carpio carpio
Lineage: Eukaryota; Metazoa; Chordata; Actinopteri; Cypriniformes; Cyprinidae
Source: Ensembl
CGUAAACGUGAUGGCGCAAACAACCACGAAGAUGAAAGAAUAAUUCUGUUUAUUACAAAAGACUGAAGAUAUAACUGCCGCCAUCCUUUAAUUUAUUUAUUUCUACAUUGAGGACACUUUAUAAACCUACAGAGAUACCGGACCAACGAACAACCUUCACAAGGGAUGGAGCUAAUUAAUGUUAACGGUUACUUGUAAAUUCAAAGCGUAACGGUCAUCUGACAACUGUGCUGAGCCAAGGGACGGGAACAGCAACAAGAGUUUAACUUCUGAUUCGUAAUCUACACACUCUACUGGGCAGUUCAUGAAGACAGAGAGAUGUUGUGCCGACCAGAACAGUUCCUCCUACCACACCAGACUCUGCUGUAUAUGAAUGCUUGUCCACUAGCACUGGACAUUUACAACAUUUUGGCGCCAGGGAUCCCUUGCAGAGAAGAUUUUUCAAAGACACCCUCAGAAUUACAACAGAUUUUAAGGCUUAAAAUUAUUGUGGGUGGGAGUAUAAUGAACAUAAUAUGAUUGUUUUAUUUUAUUAUUAUUAUUUAUUUUUUAUUUUUAAAUAGUUCCCAUUUUUUUAAUAGUACAUUUGUUUAAUAAUACAGCACAAUAUAGGGCUAAGUUGCACCAGGUCAGGAAAAAACACAUAAGUUGCAUCUGUGUAUAAGACACAUUUUACUAUUAAUUUCAGAAAUAAUUUAAAUACUGAUAAAUAAAACAAACGUUAAGAAACUUAAAAACUAUAAACACUGUAAAGAUUUUAUUUUCCC